This 441-nucleotide long non-coding RNA is filed under the name Rosa chinensis. RNAcentral's name for it is "sRNA RchiOBHm_Chr5g0023831". Lineage: Eukaryota; Viridiplantae; Streptophyta; Magnoliopsida; Rosales; Rosaceae. The record is from RNAcentral.
UGUGUGUGAUAAUCAUGUUGACCUUCUGAGUUGAUUAGAGGGUAGAAAUGUAGUGCUCUGAGGACAGGGAGGAAUCCGAAGACCGCCGGUUAAAUAAUAACCGAGAUGUAGUGCUCUGAGGACAGGGGAAAAGUCCGAAGACCGCCGGCAUGUGCUCUGAGGACAGGGGGAAAGUCCGAAGACCGCCGGUUAAAUAAUAACCGAGAUGUAGUGCUCUGAGGACAGGGGGAAAGGGAAAGUCUGAAGACCGCCGGUUAAAUAAUAACCGAGAUGUAGUGCUCUGAGGACAGGGGGAAAGUCCGAAGACCGCCGGUUAAAUAAUAACCGAGAUAUGUCGUGCUCUGAGGACAGGGAAUCCGAAGACCGCCGGUUAAAUAAUAACCGAGAUGUAGUGCUCUGAGGACAGGGGAAAAGUCCGAAGACCGCCGGUUAAAUAAUAAC